Molecule: non-coding RNA, 99 nt
Organism: Acanthosepion pharaonis
Lineage: Eukaryota; Metazoa; Mollusca; Cephalopoda; Sepiida; Sepiidae
Source: the annotation of a GenBank genome assembly
UUGAAAACGCCGGUUCUCGUACGAUCACUGAAGUUAAGCAAUCUGGAUCCGGGUCAGUACGUAGAUUGGUGACCACUUGGCAAUACCAGGUGCUGUAAG